ACGUUAGCGGCGGACGGGUGAGUAACACGUGGGUAACCUACCUAUAAGACUGGGAUAACUCCGGGAAACCGGGGCUAAUACCGGAUAAUACAUGAAACCGCAUGGUUUCAUGAUGAAAGACGGUUUUGCUGUCACUUAUAGAUGGACCCGCGGCGUAUUAGCUAGUUGGUAAGGUAACGGCUUACCAAGGCAACGAUACGUAGCCGACCUGAGAGGGUGAUCGGCCACACUGGAACUGAUACACGGUCCAGACUCCUACGGGAGGCAGCAGGA
RNAcentral lists this ribosomal RNA (273 nucleotides) under uncultured Staphylococcus sp. RNAcentral describes it as "partial 16S ribosomal RNA". It matches the Rfam family "Bacterial small subunit ribosomal RNA", at positions 89 to 354 of the family's 1533-position model. Lineage: Bacteria; Bacillati; Bacillota; Bacilli; Caryophanales; Staphylococcaceae. The record is from RNAcentral.